GAAUCGGCUCUUUUCAGAGCCACCAAGAGAUUAUUAAAAGAGAUUU
Molecule: non-coding RNA, 46 nt
Organism: Drosophila ananassae
Lineage: Eukaryota; Metazoa; Arthropoda; Insecta; Diptera; Drosophilidae
Source: Rfam